This 253-nucleotide ribosomal RNA is filed under the name uncultured prokaryote. Its description in RNAcentral is "partial 16S ribosomal RNA". It matches the Rfam family "Bacterial small subunit ribosomal RNA", at positions 524 to 776 of the family's 1533-position model. The record is from RNAcentral.
UACGUAGGGGGCAAACGUUACUCGGAAUUACUGGGCGUAAAGGGUGCGUAGGCGGCUGGGAAAGUCAAGGACGAAAUCCCGUGGCUUAACUGCGGAACUGUCCUUGAAACUUCUCAGCUUGAGGAUAGCCGAAGAGAACGGAAUUCCCGGUGGAGCGGUGAAAUGCGUAGAUAUCGGGAGGAACACCUGAGGCGAAAGCGGUUCUCUAGACUACUCCUGACGCUGAGGCACGAAAGCUAGGGGAGCAAACGGG